CGUGGGCAACAUACCCUUUCCUGCGGAAUAGCUCCGGGAAACUGGAAUUAAUACCGCAUACGCCCUACGGGGGAAAGAUUUAUCGGGGAAGGAUUGGCCCGCGUUGGAUUAGCUAGUUGGUGGGGUAAAGGCCUACCAAGGCGACGAUCCAUAGCUGGUCUGAGAGGAUGAUCAGCCACAUUGGGACUGAGACACGGCCCAAACUCCUACGGGAGGCAGCAGUGGGGAAUAUUGGACAAUGGGCGCAAGCCUGAUCCAGCCAUGCCGCGUGAGUGAUGAAGGCCUUAGGGUUGUAAAGCUCUUUCACCGAUGAAGAUAAUGACGGUAGUCGGAGAAGAAGCCCCGGCUAACUUCGUGCCAGCAGCCGCGGUAAUACGAAGGGGGCUAGCGUUUGUUCGGAAUUACUGGGCGUAAAGCGCACGUAGGCGGAUAUUUAAGUCAGGGGUGAAAUCCCCGCAGCUCAACUGCGGAACUGCCUUU
This 480-nucleotide ribosomal RNA is filed under the name Agrobacterium salinitolerans. Its description in RNAcentral is "bacterial SSU rRNA". It matches the Rfam family "Bacterial small subunit ribosomal RNA", at positions 116 to 628 of the family's 1533-position model. The record is from RNAcentral. Lineage: Bacteria; Pseudomonadati; Pseudomonadota; Alphaproteobacteria; Hyphomicrobiales; Rhizobiaceae.